UUAAAGGGAGCGUAGGCCGGAGAUUAAGCGUGUUGUGAAAUGUAGACGCUCAACGUCUGCACUGCAGCGCGAACUGGUUUCCUUGAGUACGCACAAAGUGGGCGGAAUUCGUGGUGUAGCGGUGAAAUGCUUAGAUAUCACGAAGAACUCCGAUUGCGAAGGCAGCUCACUGGAGCGCAACUGACGCUGAAGCUCGAAAGUGCGGGUAUCGAACAGGAUUAGAUACCCUGGUAGUCCGCACGGUAAACGAUGGAUGCCCGCUGUUGGUCUGAACAGGUCAGCGGCCAAGCGAAAGCAUUAAGCAUCCCACCUGGGGAGUACGCCGGCAACGGUGAAACUCAAAGGAAUUGACGGGGGCCCGCACAAGCGGAGGAACAUGUGGUUUAAUUCGAUGAUACGCGAGGAACCUUACCCGGGCUUGAAUUGCAGAGGAAGGAUUUGGAGACAAUGACGCCCUUCGGGGUCUCUGUGAAGGUGCUGCAUGGUUGUCGUCAGCUCGUGCCGUGAGGUGUCGGCUUAAGUGCCAUAACGAGCGCAACCCCUCUCCUUAGUUGCCAUCAGGUCAUGCUGGGCACUCUGGGGACACUGCCACCGUAAGGUGUGAGGAAGGUGGGGAUGACGUCAAAUCAGCACGGCCCUUACGUCCGGGGCUACACACGUGUUACAAUGGCAGGUACAGAGAGAUGGUGUUCUGCAAAGCGCAUCAAAUCCUUAAAGCCUGUCUCAGUUCGGACUGGGGUCUGCAACCCGACCCCACGAAGCUGGAUUCGCUAGUAAUC
Molecule: ribosomal RNA, 779 nt
Filed under: uncultured Bacteroidota bacterium
Lineage: Bacteria; Pseudomonadati; Bacteroidota
Description: bacterial SSU rRNA
Rfam family: Bacterial small subunit ribosomal RNA
Source: RNAcentral